Molecule: transfer RNA, 85 nt
Filed under: Nitrosopumilus sp. H8
Lineage: Archaea; Thermoproteati; Nitrososphaerota; Nitrososphaeria; Nitrosopumilales; Nitrosopumilaceae
Description: tRNA-Ser
Rfam family: tRNA
About the family: Transfer RNA (tRNA) molecules are approximately 80 nucleotides in length. Their secondary structure includes four short double-helical elements and three loops (D, anti-codon, and T loops).
Source: RNAcentral
GCCGGGGUAGCCAAGCGGUAAGGCGGCCGUCUCGAAAACGGCUACGCGAAAGCGUGCAGGGGUUCGAAUCCCUUUCCCGGCGCCA